Molecule: long non-coding RNA, 627 nt
Organism: Episyrphus balteatus (marmalade hoverfly)
Lineage: Eukaryota; Metazoa; Arthropoda; Insecta; Diptera; Syrphidae
Exons: 2
Source: RefSeq, a predicted model, not a curated record
AUUUGACAAAUUAAAAAAUUUUGAAUUAUUUUCGGAAAUGUUUAGUAUUCAAAACCUUUUCUUAAUAUUUUCAAAUUUAUUCAUUUAUAAAACAAAAAUUAAUAUACAUUCAAAGAAUGCAAAUUAUGUAGAAUUUUGACCCCAACCCAUGUUUGAAGUCGUUGAUGUAGUGGAUUAACAGAAAGAGGAAUAUUAGGAGAGAAUAUGCCUUGAGCUUUCACGAUGUCAGAAUUAUAGCUAUCUUUAUCAGGCCCGUUCCGUUAGCAUGGAAAAAAAAUUAUGUUUUCAAACAACAAGUUCCAGGCGGAAACCUAUCUUCUUUUUUGAAGACUAACGUUAAAAUACUUUUAGGAGAUAUAGUUAAAUGCUAGACUGAAAAGGAAAAACUCUUUUUUUGUUCGGUGACAGAUCUUGCUUCACAACAGUUCCAGAUUUGGGCAAGAUAUCUAAGGACCAAACAACUUCCGAACCGCACCGCGCCGAGUGACAUUCCAACUGAAGACAUUGACAUCCGACAAAAGCGUAUCCGAGCUUUACAUGAGCGAAUGCGUAUAAACUUAUAGGAGGCCAAUCAAACGCAGACACGCCCGAAUACCCUGGGAUAGGAGAACGAGUAUGUAAAAAGGU